Long non-coding RNA from Ornithorhynchus anatinus (platypus), 829 nucleotides. RefSeq lists it as uncharacterized. The transcript is spliced from 2 exons. The record is from RefSeq and is a predicted model, not a curated record. Lineage: Eukaryota; Metazoa; Chordata; Mammalia; Monotremata; Ornithorhynchidae.
UGAUGACACAAGCAAGGAAAGUAACACUCAGAGACAGUGUUGGAUAGAUCAGGAAAGGGAGGAAGUGCCCGUUCACCACCGGAGAGGUAGGAGUGACACAACGACCCCCCUCUCCUGUUUGGCUGUGCCUUUAUUUGCAACAAAUAGGAGAAGUAGCCAAUCACAAAAGGACUCGGACAAUGUGUUUUCUUCAAUGACAAAAGAGACUCUUCAAGCAGGCCUUAUCAGUUUUAGGCUCAAGUCAACUUUUUAGUGACUAAACAGAAUCGCGGCAAUCAUCUUUUUAAUAACUGGACAAAAUCGACAUGGCAAGGAAACAAUUUAUUUUACAAGUAGAAAUUAAAAUGGACCAUUACAGUUCCGCUUCGCGAUCGACCGAGCGUCUUGCAUCGCCCGUGCUUAUCGUGAUACCGCAGGUAAGGAGCAGUCGCCGGAAAGGCCGCUGGCUCUAUUGAGCCAGGACGGUGGAGACGGCUCUCCAGUGCACGGCGGGGUUGCCCGGAAACGCUCUCCCUUUCAGAUGGCUGCUUUCCCAGUAACCGUGAGAUUUACACCGCAUCCCACCGUCCGCCCAAAGAGGAAGGUUUCAGCUGGAUCUGCCUCAGGGAAGCUGAGUCACCACGAUCCAUCUCCCUUCGCGUGACCCCUUCUCCCAGAGAAGUUUCGUCCCCUUACAGGACGUUCUUUGCAAUAGCGUUCAAGGCCCUGACUUUGGCCACAUCAGUUACCUUUAACGAAUAUUCCGAGUGGGAGAGUGCCGCUCCCAUGGCAACACAAGUGUUUCUGUAAAAAAGAAAUCAUAAACGGACCGAUUACGCUCUAAAUCUUA